GGUUCCAUAGUGUAGUGGUUAGCACAUCUGCUUUACACGCAGAAGGUCCUGGGUUCGUGCCCCAGUGGAGCCA
This 73-nucleotide transfer RNA is filed under the name Pteropus alecto (black flying fox). It matches the Rfam family "tRNA". From Rfam's summary of the family: Transfer RNA (tRNA) molecules are approximately 80 nucleotides in length. Their secondary structure includes four short double-helical elements and three loops (D, anti-codon, and T loops). Lineage: Eukaryota; Metazoa; Chordata; Mammalia; Chiroptera; Pteropodidae. The record is from Rfam by way of RNAcentral.